UACGAAGGGGGCUAGCGUUGCUCGGAAUCACUGGGCGUAAAGCGCACGUAGGCGGCUUGUUAAGUCAGGGGUGAAAUCCUGGAGCUCAACUCCAGAACUGCCUUUGAUACUGAUGAGCUUGAGUUCAGGAGAGGUGAGUGGAACUGCGAGUGUAGAGGUGAAAUUCGUAGAUAUUCGCAAGAACACCAGUGGCGAAGGCGGCUCACUGGCCCGAUACUGACGCUGAGGUGCGAAAGCGUGGGGAGCAAACAGG
RNAcentral lists this ribosomal RNA (253 nucleotides) under uncultured bacterium. RNAcentral's name for it is "partial 16S ribosomal RNA". It matches the Rfam family "Bacterial small subunit ribosomal RNA", at positions 524 to 776 of the family's 1533-position model. The record is from RNAcentral.